ACGUAGGUGACAAGCGUUAUCCGGAAUUACUGGGCGUAAAGCGCACGCAGGCGGCUGUUUAAGUCUGACGUGAAAUCUCCUGGCUUAACUGGGAGGGGUCGUUGGAAACUGGUCGGCUUGAGGCAGUGAGAGGGGUGUGGAAUUCCCGGUGUAGUGGUGGAAUGCGUAGAUAUCGGGAGGAACACCGGUGGCGAAAGCGGAUCUCUGGCGCGUUACUGACGCUGAGGCUCGAAAGCGUGGGGAGCAAACGG
Molecule: ribosomal RNA, 251 nt
Filed under: uncultured prokaryote
Description: partial 16S ribosomal RNA
Rfam family: Bacterial small subunit ribosomal RNA
Source: RNAcentral